GGGUCCCCGCUGGCCGCCCCCCGUGAAUGACACGGGUGGGCCCGGCCUCCCCCGGCUCUGGUGACACCGCUAGGCAUUUCCUUUCCCCCGUCCCACUUUGUUCGGCUUGGAUGCUGCUGAAAGGGAGGGCUUGGCAGCGCCGGGAUCUGGAUUCCUCUUUCUAUGAAUAAUGCCCUUAUUAAAUUUUAACAUAUGAACCCAA
Long non-coding RNA from Melospiza melodia melodia, 202 nucleotides. RefSeq lists it as uncharacterized. NCBI's taxonomy places the organism in Eukaryota, Metazoa, Chordata, Aves, Passeriformes, Passerellidae. The record is from RefSeq and is a predicted model, not a curated record. The transcript has 2 exons.